GUGAGGGUCUCAGAUCAGAACUGUGAGGAAGACUUUUUAAAGCCUUUUAGGUUUUUGAACCAUGUGACUAUUAUAAUCUAUGCCCAAAAGAAGUUAAAUGAAAGCAGUGCGGGUCGCUGUGAGGAGGAUGGCCCGCGGGCCGGGCAGGAGUACAAGCAGGAGAUGGUUUGCAGUUUGGUGAAUACAGAGCCAACUUUAAGGAUAAUGGAGGAUCGCAAGUUCUUCAAGUUCCAGGGGUUUCUUCUUUUGUUUUGUUUUUAAGCUUGUAAACGAGAGAAAUUUAUUUCUCGCCGUUCUGGAGGCUGGAAGUCUGCGAACAGGGUGCCAUCAUGGUCAGAGGAGCAGGGUGUUUCUGAGCUGGGACAAAUGACAACACGUUUGUCUGCUGAUGGGAGCGAAAUCGGGAAAAUGGACCAGGAGAUGUGGAAGUCGGGCCCUCAAGGAGGCGAGGGGGGUGCAGACAGGGUAGAGUGGAGAGAGGCGGGUGGAAUUGAAUUGAAGCCGGGCCAGCUCGUCCUGGGAAAAGCAAGUUUGACUAUGUGACAUCUCCUCCAAAUUGUAAAAGACCGCUCUCCUGGUUUUUAUGCGUUGGCAGCUGUUCCGCAUAGCAUCAAAGCUCAAAGCAGGUCUUUGGACUGCCAGUUUCGUGUUGAUGUCGAUGAUAUGGCUUCCUUUAUGGACCUUAAUAAAGAGCUGAACAAACACAGGCGAUGUUUGUUCUCAGUGGUUGGGGCAAGAGGGAGAGGAGAGCGGUGGGUAGUUAAGACAACGAAUGUUUAGGAAGGAAGAGGAGCCCAUGGCGGGAACAGCUGUGACGCUGUGAUUUAUAAUAAAUAUAUAUUUGGUCUUUGUACCCCAUUUCUGGCACAGAACUCCUAAAACCCUUGGAAUUUCCUGUGAUGAGAGCAAUCAAGGCGUCUUUUGUUAUGUUAAUGAGGCGACUUGGAAAGCACCUCGGUCACCUAAGGUUGGGGGCUGGUUGCCAGGGGUCCCAACCAGGUACCUCAAGGGUUGGAAUUUUCAGUCCCACCUGCCCCUCCACCUCUGGGGAGGGGAGAGGGUCUGGAGGUUGAAUCGAUCGCCUAUAAUAGCCACUGGUUUAAUCAAUCGUGACCAUGUAAUGAAGCCUCCGUAAAAAGCCCAAAGGGAUGGAGGGCGUCCAGGUUGGUGAACUUGUGGAGAUGCAAGGAGAGUGGCGGCUCAGAGAGCAGGGAAGCUCCACGCCCUUUCCAUACCUUGCCCGAUGCAUCUCUUCCAUCUGGCUGUUCUCAGGUAGACGGUGACAGAAUCCAUGGAACUGUAGGACAUCCUGCUGGUGUUGGAGAAUUGCUUGGUGUCGGGGAAGGCGUCACAAGUCAGACUGGGUGCAGAACAGUCAGCAACCAGGGUUUCUUGGUACUUUGCUGCAAGCCUGUUUGCUGUAGACAUCUUUGCCACAAGUGUUUUCGCUGCAUAACCACUUGGCCCUAUGGCAAUUUUGCCGUAAAAGAUAAAAAUCACGAAAAAUAAAAGAGGGCCAUUCAUUCCAAAGGAUGCAACAAAACGUGAAAAAGAUGAAUAGCAAAAUUAAAAGGACUUUAUUGUGAAAUACAAAAGAUUUGAAUAGGUUUAAAAUAUGUGUCUGGAGAUUCACGGCAGUCCUGCCCAAAGAACCAGUUUUAUUUUGUGUGUGUGGAUUGCACCUCACUAAGCACCUUCCUUUGUUCCGUGGGACAUGUGGGUUCAACUCUGCCCCCUCGAAGAAGAGGCCUCGGCCCUCUUCUCCUCCUCCAAUAUAGUGUGAUUCAAAAUAAGAAACAACUCUUGGGGCAAAUCAUCGACACGGUCAGCUCGAUGAAGCCAUCAGUAAGACACUGACUGGAAGAAAUGCCAAGUAUUUUAGACCGCUACCGUCACCACCAUGUCUGCAGGUCACCGUGGAGACCACUCUGAGGGCUAGCCAAGAUUUAUAGCAUAUAAAAAUGGGAGGAACUGUGAGAACUUCGUCAAUGGAGAAGUGAAACCAAACUGGAAAAAAAAGACAAAACUGUCAACCAGUUAUGUUCUUUUCUUUUAUGGCGGUUGAUUCGUCAAUGGAGAAAUAAAAGGAAAAAAAAAAAAACCCAAACCGUCAAGCAGUUAUUUCUUUCUGUUUUAUGGCAAAAUUGCCUUACAGCCCAUUAGUUAAGCUACGAGAAUGGUUCCGGGGAAGACAUGGCAGCC
This is a long non-coding RNA of Equus caballus (horse), 2202 nucleotides long. The record is from Ensembl. NCBI's taxonomy places the organism in Eukaryota, Metazoa, Chordata, Mammalia, Perissodactyla, Equidae.